RNAcentral lists this ribosomal RNA (253 nucleotides) under uncultured bacterium. RNAcentral's name for it is "partial 16S ribosomal RNA". It matches the Rfam family "Bacterial small subunit ribosomal RNA", at positions 524 to 776 of the family's 1533-position model. The record is from RNAcentral.
UACGUAGGGGGCAAGCGUUAUCCGGAUUUACUGGGUGUAAAGGGAGCGUAGGCGGUGAUGCAAGUCAGAAGUGAAAGCCCGCAGCUCAACUGCGGGACUGCUUUUGAAACUGUAUGACUAAAUUGCAGGAGAGGUAAGUGGAAUUCCUAGUGUAGCGGUGAAAUGCGUAGAUAUUAGGAGGAACACCAGUGGCGAAGGCGGCUUACUGGACUGUAAAUGACGCUGAGGCUCGAAAGCGUGGGGAGCAAACAGG